AACGAACGCUGGCGGCAUGCCUAACACAUGCAAGUCGAACGAGACCUUCGGGUCUAGUGGCGCACGGGUGCGUAACGCGUGGGAACCUGCCCUUAGGUUCGGAAUAACUCCCCGAAAGGGGUGCUAAUACCGGAUAAUGUCUUCGGACCAAAGAUUUAUCGCCUUUGGAUGGGCCCGCGUUGGAUUAGCUAGUUGGUAGGGUAAAAGCCUACCAAGGCGACGAUCCAUAGCUGGUCUGAGAGGAUGCUCAGCCACACUGGGACUGCGACACGGCCCAGACUCCUACGGGAGGCAGCAGUGGGGAAUAUUGGACAAUGGGCGAAAGCCUGAUCCAGCAAUGCCGCGUGAGUGAUGAAGGCCUUAGGGUUGUAAAGCUCUUUUACCCGGGAUGAUAAUGACAGUACCGGGAGAAUAAGCUCCGGCUAACUCCGUG
RNAcentral lists this ribosomal RNA (433 nucleotides) under uncultured bacterium. RNAcentral describes it as "partial 16S ribosomal RNA". It matches the Rfam family "Bacterial small subunit ribosomal RNA", at positions 29 to 507 of the family's 1533-position model. The record is from RNAcentral.